UGGGGAAUAUUGCACAAUGGGCGCAAGCCUGAUGCAGUCAUGCCGCGUGGGUGAAGAAGGCCUUCGGGUUGUAAAGCACUUUCAGCGGGGAGGAAGGCGUUAAGGUUAAUAACCUUGGCGAUUGACGUUACCCGCAGAAGAAGCACCGGCUAACUCCGUGCCAGCAGCCGCGGUAAUACGGGGGGUGCAAGCGUUAAUCGGAAUUACUGGGCGUAGAGCGCACGCAGGCGGUCUGUCAAGUCGGAUGUGAAAUCCCCGGGCUCAACCUGGGAACUGCAUUCGAAGAUGGCAGGCUAGAGUCUUGUGGAGGGGGGUAGAAUACCAGGUGUAGCGGUGAAAUGCGUCGAGGUCAGGAGGAAUACCGGUGGCGAAGGCGGCCCCCUGGACAAAGACUGACGCUCCGGUGCGAAGGCGUGGGGAGCAAACAGG
Molecule: ribosomal RNA, 429 nt
Filed under: Chloroflexota bacterium
Lineage: Bacteria; Bacillati; Chloroflexota
Description: Chloroflexi bacterium partial 16S ribosomal RNA
Rfam family: Bacterial small subunit ribosomal RNA
Source: RNAcentral